RNAcentral lists this ribosomal RNA (468 nucleotides) under uncultured bacterium. RNAcentral describes it as "partial 16S ribosomal RNA". It matches the Rfam family "Bacterial small subunit ribosomal RNA", at positions 28 to 507 of the family's 1533-position model. The record is from RNAcentral.
GACGAACGCUGGCGGCGUGCUUAACACAUGCAAGUCGAACGGAAAGGCCCUGCUUUUGUGGGGUGCUUGAGUGGCGAACGGGUGAGUAACACGUGAGUAACCUGCCCUUGACUUUGGGAUAACUUCAGGAAACUGUGGCUAAUACCGGAUAGGAUCUCCUGCUGCAUGGUGGGGGUUUGAAAGUUUCGGGGGUUGGGGUUGGACUCGCGGCUUCUUAGCUUUUUGGUGGGGUAGUGGAUUACCAAGGCGUGGACGGGUAGCCAGCCUGAGAGGGUGACAGGCCACAUAGGGACUGAGAAACGGGCCAGACUGCAACGUGAGGAAGCAGUGGGAAAUAUUGCAAAAAGGGCGGAAGCCUGAAGGAGCAACGCCGCGUGCGAGAUGACGGCCGUAGGGGUGUAAACAGCUUGCGCCUGUAAAGAAGAGUGAGUGACGGUAAUGGGUAAAGAAGCAACGGCUAACUACGUG